This 304-nucleotide ribosomal RNA is filed under the name uncultured bacterium. RNAcentral describes it as "bacterial SSU rRNA". It matches the Rfam family "Bacterial small subunit ribosomal RNA", at positions 28 to 334 of the family's 1533-position model. The record is from RNAcentral.
AUUGAACGCUGGCGGCAUGCCUUACACAUGCAAGUCGAACGGCAGCGGGCCCUUCGGGGUGCCGGCGAGUGGCGAACGGGUGAGUAAUGCAUCGGAACGUACCCGGGAGUGGGGGAUAACCGGCCGAAAGGCUGGCUAAUACCGCAUGAACUCGGAAGAGCAAAGCGGGGGACCUUCGGGCCUCGCGCUCUCGGAGCGGCCGAUGUCCGAUUAGCUAGUUGGUGAGGUAAAGGCUCACCAAGGCGACGAUCGGUAGCGGGUCUGAGAGGACGAUCCGCCACACUGGGACUGAGACACGGCCCAG